UACGAAGGGGGCUAGCGUUGCUCGGAAUCACUGGGCGUAAAGCGCACGUAGGCGGAUCUUUAAGUCAGGGGUGAAAUCCCAAGGCUCAACCUUGGAACUGCCUUUGAUACUGGGGAUCUCGAGUCCGGAAGAGGUGAGUGGAACUGCGAGUGUAGAGGUGAAAUUCGUAGAUAUUGGGAAGAACACCGGUGGCGAAGGCGGCGAGCUGGCCUGUUACUGACGCUGAGGCGCGACAGCGUGGGGAGCAAACAGG
This 253-nucleotide ribosomal RNA is filed under the name uncultured bacterium. RNAcentral describes it as "partial 16S ribosomal RNA". It matches the Rfam family "Bacterial small subunit ribosomal RNA", at positions 524 to 776 of the family's 1533-position model. The record is from RNAcentral.